Molecule: ribosomal RNA, 1421 nt
Filed under: Kocuria sp.
Lineage: Bacteria; Bacillati; Actinomycetota; Actinomycetes; Micrococcales; Micrococcaceae
Description: bacterial SSU rRNA
Rfam family: Bacterial small subunit ribosomal RNA
Source: RNAcentral
GGCGUGCUUACACAUGCAGUCGAACGAUGAUGCCCAGCUUGCUGGGCGGAUUAGUGGCGAACGGGUGAGUAAUACGUGAGUAACCUGCCCUUGACUCUGGGAUAAGCCUGGGAAACUGGGUCUAAUACUGGAUACUACCUCUUACCGCAUGGUGGGUGGUGGAAAGGGUUUUACUGGUUUUGGAUGGGCUCACGGCCUAUCAGCUUGUUGGUGGGGUAAUGGCUCACCAAGGCGACGACGGGUAGCCGGCCUGAGAGGGUGACCGGCCACACUGGGACUGAGACACGGCCCAGACUCCUACGGGAGGCAGCAGUGGGGAAUAUUGCACAAUGGGCGGAAGCCUGAUGCAGCGACGCCGCGUGAGGGAUGACGGCCUUCGGGUUGUAAACCUCUUUCAGUAGGGAAGAAGCGAGAGUGACGGUACCUGCAGAAGAAGCGCCGGCUAACUACGUGCCAGCAGCCGCGGUAAUACGUAGGGCGCAAGCGUUGUCCGGAAUUAUUGGGCGUAAAGAGCUCGUAGGCGGUUUGUCGCGUCUGCUGUGAAAGCCCGGGGCUCAACCCCGGGUCUGCAGUGGGUACGGGCAGACUAGAGUGCAGUAGGGGAGACUGGAAUUCCUGGUGUAGCGGUGAAAUGCGCAGAUAUCAGGAGGAACACCGAUGGCGAAGGCAGGUCUCUGGGCUGUUACUGACGCUGAGGAGCGAAAGCAUGGGGAGCGAACAGGAUUAGAUACCCUGGUAGUCCAUGCCGUAAACGUUGGGCACUAGGUGUGGGGGACAUUCCACGUUUUCCGCGCCGUAGCUAACGCAUUAAGUGCCCCGCCUGGGGAGUACGGCCGCAAGGCUAAAACUCAAAGGAAUUGACGGGGGCCCGCACAAGCGGCGGAGCAUGCGGAUUAAUUCGAUGCAACGCGAAGAACCUUACCAAGGCUUGACAUUCACCGGACUACCCCAGAGAUGGGGUUUCCCUUCGGGGCUGGUGGACAGGUGGUGCAUGGUUGUCGUCAGCUCGUGUCGUGAGAUGUUGGGUUAAGUCCCGCAACGAGCGCAACCCUCGUUCUAUGUUGCCAGCACGUGAUGGUGGGGACUCAUAGGAGACUGCCGGGGUCAACUCGGAGGAAGGUGGGGAUGACGUCAAAUCAUCAUGCCCCUUAUGUCUUGGGCUUCACGCAUGCUACAAUGGCCGGUACAAAGGGUUGCGAUACUGUGAGGUGGAGCUAAUCCCAAAAAGCCGGUCUCAGUUCGGAUUGAGGUCUGCAACUCGACCUCAUGAAGUCGGAGUCGCUAGUAAUCGCAGAUCAGCAACGCUGCGGUGAAUACGUUCCCGGGCCUUGUACACACCGCCCGUCAAGUCACGAAAGUUGGUAACACCCGAAGCCGGUGGCCUAACCCCUUGUGGGAGGGAGCCGUCGAAGGUGACUGCC